AGAGUUUGAUCCUGGCUCAGGACGAACGCUGGCGGCGUGCCUAACACAUGCAAGUCGAGCGGAGAUGUACUGAAGAUUUAUCGGAUGUACAUCUUAGCGGCGGACGGGUGAGUAACGCGUGGGCAACCUGCCUUCCACUGGGGGAUAACACAGGGAAACCUGUGCUAAUACCGCAUGACAUCACAUAGGGCAUCCUGUGUGAUCAAAGGANGUGAUCCGGUGGAAGAUGGGCCCGCGUCCGAUUAGCUAGUUGGUGAGGUAACGGCUCACCAAGGCGACGAUCGGUAGCCGGACUGAGAGGUUGGCCGGCCACAUUGGGACUGAGACACGGCCCAGACUCCUACGGGAGGCAGC
This 354-nucleotide ribosomal RNA is filed under the name uncultured bacterium. Its description in RNAcentral is "bacterial SSU rRNA". It matches the Rfam family "Bacterial small subunit ribosomal RNA", at positions 8 to 352 of the family's 1533-position model. The record is from RNAcentral.